This 89-nucleotide transfer RNA is filed under the name Mycobacterium botniense. RNAcentral describes it as "tRNA-Leu". It matches the Rfam family "tRNA". Rfam says of the family: Transfer RNA (tRNA) molecules are approximately 80 nucleotides in length. Their secondary structure includes four short double-helical elements and three loops (D, anti-codon, and T loops). The record is from RNAcentral. Lineage: Bacteria; Bacillati; Actinomycetota; Actinomycetes; Mycobacteriales; Mycobacteriaceae.
UGCGGGCGUGAUGGAACUGGGAUACAUGCCGGUUUUAGGUGCCGGUGCUCGUGAGAGCAUGAGGGUUCGAAUCCCUCCGCCCGCACCCA